UACGGAGGGUGCGAGCGUUGUCCGGAAUCACUGGGCGUAAAGGGCGCGUAGGCGGCGCGGGUAGUCAUCGGUGAAAGUUCAGGGCUCAACUCUGAAUCGGCCGGUGAUACUCCCGUGCUCGAGCACUGUAGAGGCAGGUGGAAUUCCGGGUGUAGCGGUGGAAUGCGUAGAGAUCCGGAAGAACACCGGUGGCGAAGGCGGCCUGCUGGGCAGUAGCUGACGCUGAUGCGCGACAGCGUGGGGGGCAAACAGG
RNAcentral lists this ribosomal RNA (253 nucleotides) under uncultured bacterium. RNAcentral's name for it is "partial 16S ribosomal RNA". It matches the Rfam family "Bacterial small subunit ribosomal RNA", at positions 524 to 776 of the family's 1533-position model. The record is from RNAcentral.